UACAGAGGUCUCGAGCGUUAGGCGGAAUCACUGGGCUUAAAGCGUGUGUAGGCGGAUCGGUAAGUACCUUGUGAAAUCCCACAGCUUAACUGUGGAACUGCUUGGUAUACUGCCAGUCUUGAGCCACUUAGGGGCUACCGGAACAAAUGGUGGAGCGGUGAAAUGCGCAGAUAUCAGGAGGAACACCGGUGGCGAAGGCGGGUCUCUGGGCCGUAACUGACGCUGAGGAGCGAAAGCAUGGGGAGCGAACAGG
RNAcentral lists this ribosomal RNA (253 nucleotides) under uncultured bacterium. RNAcentral describes it as "partial 16S ribosomal RNA". It matches the Rfam family "Bacterial small subunit ribosomal RNA", at positions 524 to 776 of the family's 1533-position model. The record is from RNAcentral.